Molecule: long non-coding RNA, 979 nt
Organism: Pseudopipra pipra
Lineage: Eukaryota; Metazoa; Chordata; Aves; Passeriformes; Pipridae
Exons: 4
Source: RefSeq, a predicted model, not a curated record
CUUGGAUGUGCAUCAGAAUCGCAUCUGAGAAGUGUCAGGUCAGGUGUCUUUUACAGCCUCCUUACAGGUUGUAUCGGUGGCUGUGCUGUGCAGUCAUCUCUUGUAACCGCCUGGGAUUUCUGAGAGUUUAAGAAGAUUCUGAACAUAGCCUUGUCUCCCAUCCAUCUUAGCAAUUUUGUAGGCAGUUCUUGUCCCAGGCCAUUCUGUUAGAGUGUCUUUUCAGGCUCCCCAGAGCCUCCUCCGUUCAGUCUCGCCGUAUCCUCCGUCUUCUCGUGCGGCAGCACAUCCAUUUUGGCGUCGUUCCUUUCUCAGAGUUCUCUCUCCUGGUUGCACCACAGCACUUGUCUGGAAAUGUGUCCUUGGAGUUUGUGUUGGGCCUGGAACUGCUCUGCCCUGCAGUGUAGACUUGGGGGUAGGUGGAGUAGAAAGGAGACUUCCCGGUUACCCCAUGGAUAGGCUUAGGCACUGAGGACCUUAAAGUUAGGUCAGUGUUUGUUUGUGCAGGUUGUCUUUGGACCCCAGAGGGCUUGUCUAAGGAGAAAUUAGAAUUGCACAGCAGCUAAAGUCCCCCUGUAUAUAUGGCUGACUUUGGUAACUCAUUUCUUUGCAGUAUCAGAGGGACUGGAUGUAAAGCAGAGAUGAACAGAAGAGGCUGGAGGAGCACAGUCAGAAGAUGCAGAGCCCUCAGCCCAGCAGAUGACAGGCACCAGAGGGAAGGUGAGCCUGGUGAGCAAGGCAAUGCACCGACUUCUAACAUACAGUCCAACGUGACGGGGACCCUGCCUGUAAGAGGAGACGUACGAAGCCUCACAGGGCUGAAGCCAACUCACAGUGAGGUGACGGACACGGUUUGGUCCUCUGGAGCUGUCCUUGUAGGUAAUCUCCGAGUAUUGAAAGGAUCAGCAAUGAAGGAUUGAGCUUUUUUGAUUGCAGGUGCCAUCCAGCUAACCUUUGGGAGCAGAUGAGCGUUGGAGGUGAG